GUCGAACGGUAACAGGAAGCAGCUUGCUUCUUCGCUGACGAGUGGCGGACGGGUGAGUAAUGUCUGGGAAACUGCCUGAUGGAGGGGGAUAACUACUGGAAACGGUAGCUAAUACCGCAUAACGUCGCAAGACCAAAGAGGGGGACCUUCGGGCCUCUUGCCAUCGGAUGUGCCCAGAUGGGAUUAGCUUGUGGUGGGGUAACGGCUCACCAGGCGACGAUCCCUAGCUGGUCUGAGAGGAUGACCAGCCACACUGGAACUGAGACACGGUCCAGACUCCUACGGGAGGCAGCAGUGGGGAAUAUUGCACAAUGGGCGCAAGCCUGAUGCAGCCAUGCCGCGUGUAUGAAGAAGGCCUUCGGGUUGUAAAGUACUUUCAGCGGGGAGGAAGGGAGUAAAGUUAAUACCUUUGCUCAUUGACGUUACCCGCAGAAGAAGCACCGGCUAACUCCGUGCCAGCAGCCGCGGUAAUACGGAGGGUGCAAGCGUUAAUCGGAAUUACUGGGCGUAAAGCGCACGCAGGCGGUUUGUUAAGUCAGAUGUGAAAUCCCCGGGCUCAACCUGGGAACUGCAUCUGAUACUGGCAAGCUUGAGUCUCGUAGAGGGGGGUAGAAUUCCAGGUGUAGCGGUGAAAUGCGUAGAGAUCUGGAGGAAUACCGGUGGCGAAGGCGGCCCCCUGACGAAGAC
This 687-nucleotide ribosomal RNA is filed under the name Shigella sp. Its description in RNAcentral is "bacterial SSU rRNA". It matches the Rfam family "Bacterial small subunit ribosomal RNA", at positions 61 to 740 of the family's 1533-position model. The record is from RNAcentral. Lineage: Bacteria; Pseudomonadati; Pseudomonadota; Gammaproteobacteria; Enterobacterales; Enterobacteriaceae.